Bison bison bison is the source of this 62-nucleotide microRNA precursor. NCBI's taxonomy places the organism in Eukaryota, Metazoa, Chordata, Mammalia, Artiodactyla, Bovidae. The record is from Ensembl.
CGGCUCCGUGACUCGUCCGUGGACGCCGGUUCGAGCCCCGUCCCGGGCGCCGCGGAGCCUCA